RNAcentral lists this small RNA (90 nucleotides) under Stenotrophomonas maltophilia. RNAcentral describes it as "Manganese sequence". It matches the Rfam family "Manganese Mn2+ riboswitch aptamer (yybP-ykoY)". Rfam says of the family: This RNA was originally discovered in E. coli during a large scale screen and was named SraF. The family was later found to exist upstream of related families of protein genes in many bacteria, including the the yybP and ykoK genes in B. subtilis. Lineage: Bacteria; Pseudomonadati; Pseudomonadota; Gammaproteobacteria; Lysobacterales; Lysobacteraceae. The record is from RNAcentral.
CCCCUUGGGGAGUAGCCGGAUUCCUUCGCAGGAAUCGUCCACGUCAACAUACUCGGCCAGUGCGCCGUGGCGUGGACAGCCAUGAUGGUU